GGCUCAGUAGCAGAAGGUCUGCAUCUGCCUUCAAUGCAGGGACUCCUUUCUAAUUGUGCAGAUAAUGCCUGUUCGACUUGGGCCUGAGCCA
Non-coding RNA from Mycena galericulata, 91 nucleotides. Lineage: Eukaryota; Fungi; Basidiomycota; Agaricomycetes; Agaricales; Mycenaceae. The record is from the annotation of a GenBank genome assembly.